RNAcentral lists this non-coding RNA (772 nucleotides) under Hestina assimilis. Lineage: Eukaryota; Metazoa; Arthropoda; Insecta; Lepidoptera; Nymphalidae. The record is from RNAcentral.
AAUUUUUUAUGUUUUAGAAAUUUUAUUAUAAAUUUAUUUUACAUAUAAAUUUUAGUAUGAAAUUUUAAUUAUUUAAAUAAUAAUUAAUUAAUUAAGGUAGUAAUUAGUAUUAAAAAUUUAAGAAAUUAAGAUUUAGUAAUAUGAAAAUUAAUAACUAAUUUUGUGCCAGCAGUUGCGGUUAUACAAAGAUUAAAUUAAAUUAUUUCAGUUUAUAAUAAAUAAUUUUAAAUUAAAGUAAAUAUUAAAUUAUUAAGUGAAAUUUUAAUUUAAUUAAAUUUUAUAUUUAAAUUAUGAUUUAAUAAAUUUUAAUAUAAACUAGGAUUAGAUACCCUAUUAUUAAAAAAAUUAAAUUAUAAUACUAAAAUAGUAAAUAAUUAUUUAUUGAAACUUGAAUAAUAUGGCGGUAUUUUAGUUCAUUUAGAGGAAUCUGUUAAGUAAUUGAUAAUCCACGAAUAAAUUUACUUAAUUUUAAAUUUUGUAUAUCAUUGUUAAAAAAAUAUUUUUAAAUAAAAAUAAUAUUUAAAAUUUUAAAAAUAAAAUUAGUUCAGAUCAAGAUGCAGAUUAUAAUUAAGAUUAUAAUGGAUUACAAUAAAAUUAUUUAAAUGAAUAAUAGUAUUGAAAUUUAUAUUUGAAAGUGGAUUUAAAUGUAAUUUUAAUUAGUUUAUUAAAAUGAUUAAAAAUUAGAAUAUGUACAUAUUGCCCGUCACUUUCAUUUUAAAAUUGAAAUAAGUCGUAACAAAGUAGAUGUACUGGAAAGUGUAUCUAGAAAGAA